This 360-nucleotide ribosomal RNA is filed under the name uncultured bacterium. RNAcentral's name for it is "partial 16S ribosomal RNA". It matches the Rfam family "Bacterial small subunit ribosomal RNA", at positions 338 to 696 of the family's 1533-position model. The record is from RNAcentral.
CCUACGGGAGGCAGCAGUGAGGAAUAUUGGUCAAUGGGAGAGAUCCUGAACCAGCCAAGCCGCGUGAGGGAAGACGGCCCUAGGGGUGGUAAACCUCUUUUGUCGGAAAGCAAAACCAGGGACGUGGCCUGGACUGCGCGUACCCGAAGAAAAAGCGUCGGCUAACUCCGUGCCAGCAGCCGCGGUAAUACGGAGGAUGCGAGCGUUAUCCGGAUUUAUGGGGGUUAAAGGGGGCGGAGGGGGGCGGGUAAGUCAGCGGUAAAAUUGCGGGGCUCAACCCCGUACUGCCGUUGAACCUGGCAGCCUGGAGUGCGCGAGAAGUACGCGGAAUGCGCGGUGUAGCGGUGAAAUGCAUAGAUA